CACCUGGUGAUAGCCGUGGGGGUCGGUGCCCCCCGGCGGCAGGGCGGGGGCCUUGGCGUUGAGAAUGGAGAAUUCCUGCAGCCACUGCAGGCUGGUCAGGCUGUCGUCCAGGGCGUCGGGCUCCUCCAGGCCGCCCUCCGGCCCCGCCUCCUCCGCCUCCCCUGCACCCGAGAGGCGUAGCCAGCUCUCCGCCAUGUCUGCGGGGACCCUCCGAGGGGGCGGUCAACAUCCACGGCUGAGCCGGGGGUAGCCCGCCGCGCUCUCCGGCCCGCUGACUCCCGCGGCUCCAGUUACAGGGCCUCCCGGACGCGCGCUUCCAUCCCGCGACCAGGGGGUCGCCUCCUCGGAAGACCGGUGUGGUUCCUGCGAAGGACCACGGCGGGAGCUGAGCACUUUCCCCACCCUCGAUGGGAGAGUGUGUGCGAGGAGGGGGAGGCUCCUCUAAAAUCGUCCCCGCUGCUGGGGAGGAUCUUUGCUGGCCGAGGUCUGGGAAACAGAACCAGUGCCCUGGGGUCCGACCCCCGCUGUGUCCAUCGCACUCUUUUCCUCUCCGAGGUUUUAGAGGAGACUUUCUUUACUGGGUAUCCGAGGCUAUCACCUUCUCCCCCAGAGCAGGAGAUCAACCCUCUCACAACAAAUGGAAACGGGGCGAGGGAGCCCAGGAGGGCAGAGGCCAGAGACGCGGAAGUCGUCUGAUUUUUGAAGAGAUAUUAGGAUGGGGGGUAACGGGGAAGGAAGGAAACAGGAUAGGAAUUACAGGGGGCGAGAAGUAAGUGUCCCCCAAACUCAGAUGUCAUGCCCGGGUCCACCAAUUCACUCGAGGACGGAUGGGAGAGCGGGCUGGUACAGACACCCUCCCUUCCCGCGGCCAGCAGCCGUCUCAGUCCCUUACCUGGCUCAGAGCGCAGCCCGGGCCAAAGGAAGGUUCUGGAAGAAGUUCCUCCCACCCCCCGCGGCUCUCUGUACCCAGCUCGAGUGCCCCGCCAGCGCCCCUUGUCGCCCCCCCGCCCGACGGCGCCUCUCUGAGCGCUGGUGGCCCCCGGACCGGCAUUAAGUAGCCGCUGCAAAGGCUUCUUCUGCUGCCAUGGCGACGCUCCGCCCCCAUAAACAGCUUCCGCUGCUGCUAUUGGCCAGUGCGUUUCUAAGGAGAUCGCGGGCUCUAGCCACUCUCUCUGGCGGUAACUCUCCUCGAACUCCCUCCUUCUGCCGCCCUCUCCCGCGCCACCCAGCCCCCCUACCCGCCACCGCGUCCCGGCUCCGCGCAUUCCCGCUCGAGGGCCCCGCGCAGGACUCGGAGAAGCGCGCGGCUCUCACCCGAGGCCCCCGGCACGCCCGCGAGCCGUCCGCCGGGGCAGCCGCACUCCCGCCCUCGCUCCCUUCCUGUCCCGGCUGCUCCGGGCGUCCACGGCUCCGCGGACGGAGCCAGGGGCGCGGGGGCCAAGGCUGGGAAGGCUGGGAGCCGGCUCAGGCUCGGGAAUCGUGUGCUUGGGGUUUCCUUUCCUCUCCUCUGGGCUCACGUUUCUGUGCCCUUUCCCACCCUCCCGACCCUGAGUGUCGUCUGGGUGCCCGCGGGCAGGUCUGACUCUCCGAUGCCACCUGCCUCUCAGGCCCGCAGCAAUGGCUGCACCGAUCCCAGGCACACCAAGGCGAGCAGGGUUUCCCGAUAGCUGAGGGAACAAAGCCGGCGAGUGAAACUCACAGAGGUCACAGACUUGCGGAAUUCUCCUAGCAGGGUCAUUCGCCCCGUUCAUUUCACCAGCUUUCUAGUGGCAUGGACUAAAGGUAGGGGGACACCAGGGGCUGCUUCCUCCCCUCCUCCUGGUCUCUGGCCGGUCACCAGCUUUCCUGCUCUUCAAUUAUUGAGGAGCUGCAGUGACGGAAGUUCUCCGGUUUAAGGGUGAGGGUGGGGUGAGGGCUCCUUACUCAGGCCUCUGCCCAGAAGCUGGAGGGCAGGGCGUGGGAAGCCCGUGUCCUCAGGGUGGCCCCUCAGCUCCCACCUCCCACGCGGAGCAGGUCUUUCCCUACUUUCUGCCUCCCCCACUCCGCCAUCUGGAGAUUCUCUUGAGGAAAAAUGUUUGAGUGCUGGAGAAAGUCGGACAGAAACUUUCACAAAUGAGCCAAGGACACAGUUAAUAGCUCUCCUUCCCUUGUAAACAGUUUUAUUCGUUUUAAAGAAUCAUGCAGCAGUCCAUAAAUAUUGCAUCCUUGAUGUCCCCACUGUAGUGUGCCCACGAGUGUACUCCAGGGAGUGAGGGGUACACAGAUGGCACAAACAGUACACACACACACACACACACACUUGCACACACCAGGUGUGCAGGUCCUAAAGCAAAGUGAUCAACCAGCAUGCCAAGAUCAGGUGGACAGGACACCAACUCUCCCCAGGCGAGACAGCUCAAAGUGUGCGGCUCUAUGCCCAGGAGAUGCCCCAGUGCGGGCAUAAACUCCAAUGGGUGGAGCUGGGUGGGGAAGGAAGGAAGGCUCCAUGCGGCCGGGAUCAGCACACCACCUGGAGGCCACAGGAACCUCGGGCCAGAGUUGGCAGGAGAAGCCACAGGCCUCCAGAAGUCUGUGCCCUUGUGCGAGAGGCCAGGCCCCAUCCCAUCCUCACUGGGCCAACUGCUCAUAACACAACUGUCUCCGGAUGACGGACUGGGUGCGGCAGGGUCAGGAGCUGCCCUGUUCCCUGACCAAGCUGACUAAAGACCAGCUCCUUUGGAUGGGAUGUUUCUGCUUGCCUCAGAGCCAAAUGAGAACAAAGAGGUAGGGGAGACAGAGUGACGGAGACACAGAGGGAUCGGUCUGAGAAACAGGAGUGAAAGGGCCAUUUCUGACCUGGGCAUGUCUUGAUUAUGGAACCAAGACCUUAAAGAAUCUUUCUGAGCCUCUUGCUGGGGGAGGACCCAGCCUGUGCUGUAAGGAAGGACACAGACCCUCCAGGAGGGGUGAUGAUAAUGGUUUUCUCUCAGGGCUCCCGGCCACUGUGGCAACUGUUUACCUACAUCUCCUUCAUCUUGGGUAACACCACACGGUGAAUACUACCUGCCGAGAGGGGAGGGAGGCUGUGGGCCGCUACCCCCGGCUGAGGGAAGAUCCCCAUUCCCUGGGGCUUAAACUUCAAGGAAAUCAGGCAGUGGGGUUAUUGCUCUGACCUCAACCGCAGAAGGGGCCGUAAGGAUGUCGGGGGGAAAGGACAGGAGUCGGGCCUGAAGCAGCAGGGUCCAGAAGCCCCGGCAGGGCCUCAGAGAGGGGGACAUGGGGACUCAAGACAGAAGCUUAGAUUCAGGCAUGACUCACAUAUCGUGUCUGUUGGGACAGCAGGCCUUCCCCCCACCAGGGCAGGCCCUGAGCCAUAACCACUAGGCUGGGCAAGGGUCACCACCGCCUGGCAGUGCAAAGAAGCCACACGGAAGGGGUGAAGGAUUCCCUGGGCACGGGGCUCACUAUGGGGUGUUGGGGACGACCCUGAAAGGCUCUUCCAGGGUAACAGUUCCAAAUACAAAGACAGGCCAUCAUGAUGGUCAGAGCCUAAAGGCUCUGUGGUCUCUGGGCCUCAUAAAUUGCUGUAUCUAACUCUGCUACUCUAUCUCAUGCUCCACUAAAAGACCACCUUUUCCCAAAGCCAACAGACACAUCUGUGCAAGAACUGUGCGGAGCCACCAAUGACAACACUGUCCAGAGAGGAGGAACUCCCAGCAGCUUACAGCCUGGCCUCGCUGUUUUAGACUUUUGUUGACAUGCCUCGCAUGGGGCUGAGGAGAGGUGGCAGGGGUGGGGGUGGGGAUGGUGCAUAUGAUCUGAACCACAGAAUCUCUGAAUCUCUAAAGAGCCUGUGGGAGGAGUGCCUCCCCCUCCCCUGCUCAGGCUCGGCAGGUCUGGAAGGCAGGGAAGGGUAACACUUGGGGUGGGGAGGCCCCGGCUCCACGUGUGCCACUUCCUGUGGGACUCCUGGGCACCGACUUGAGAAUCACUGUUCCACCCCUCUCUCAACCUAUUUCUUCAACUAUUGACAAAAAGGGGUGGGGACAGGGACAACAGAUAGAAGACCACCACCGGACCGGGCUGUGGUGAGGGAAUGUGAGAACAUCCGACAGCUCCUAACACAGGUGCCUGGCACACCUGUGGUCAAAGGUGUGGUCAAAGAUGUGUUUUCUGAAAGGUCACCUUAGGAUGGAGUCCCAGGCCUUCAUGAACGCACCUGCUCCUAAAUAACCCUCCCGAGGGUCAUCACGUAACUGGGGGAUUCUCAGAUUCGAGGCCUCCUUCCUAAGCACACAGAUGCACGAGGCACAGGGGACCAGCUCUGUGACCAGACCAGAUGUUCCAGAGACCAGAAAAUGCCAGAGGGGUGUUUGUAAUGAAGCUGCCAAGACUCCAGGUCUUCUUGGUUGUGCCCCCUAAGGAGAAAAAGAUGCACGAGGAGCAACCAGCCCGUGGACCUGAAGGUCAAGGUGCCUGGAGAAGAGAAAAGAAGGGGAUAGGAGCCAGACCCCCGGCCAGGUCCGGAUGGCAUCUGCAGCAGGACAGCCCAGGAGUUCGGCACGGAAGCUAGCAGGAUGCGUGUUACCUGAGACCCCCAUGUGUGUGCAGGCCACAGCGAAGGAGAGAGAAUUGGGCGAGGUGGGCACCCAGGGGGCAGGGGGCUGUCCCUGUCCUAAUGGGCUAGGGACAGUCACGGCCACCAUGGACUGCAGAGAAGAACAUACAGAGUAUUUCUCGUUCUGUGCACCUGCCCUGCAAUCCACUUCUGUGUCUUUGUUUUGAAGUUUGCCUAGAUGUUAUGGGGGGUCGGGCUGAGGUUUUCCCCAGGGCAGGAAGCAGUGGAGGGGAGUGAGAAGAGCGUGUUAAUUUGGGCUCAGUGUCAGUGUUUGCCGUGGGAGCUGGGAGGGGCAGGAUGGGGCUGGUUGCUCAGCAGGGUGCCAGGGACAGAAAGGGGGGGGGGGCGCAGGUGUGACGGGGCCACCUGCUGCUCUUCAUCUCUGUCCACCCGAGCAGCCCUCUGGGGUCACCAUCAACCCUGGGAGACACCAGCCUGAGAGCCUUGGGGUCGCCCAGGCAGCACCCACAAAACUCUUGUCCUCCCCCAAACCCGCCACGGCUCCUGCACAAGGAGCACUGGCUGCCUGGUCUAGAAGCCUAUUCUUGGCUCCUCCGUCCUUCGUGCUCUGUAUUUCAUCCGUCACUACCUCCUGUCUGUCAUCAGAAAACCCGGGCUUCUCUCCUGGCUCAUGACUGACGGACUGACCGCGUGCUCCUGGGCGGAAGCCUUGAUUCACCCACCCAUCGAAUGGGAGCAGAGUGCUCUCCUCACAGGGCUGCUGGGACGACAAAACAAGGUGACAUGGGAGUGUGCUGAGCAGGGCGUGCCUUAUCCAGGCUGCCCUCUUCUCUCCCCGGGGUCUCCCCUCAACUCUCGUGCUGGCCCCGACUGCCUUUUCCCAGUGGCGCCCUCCAGCGCAGUGCAAAGCUCCCUGUGACACAGAGGCUCCCGGGGAAGACCUGACUCCACGGGGCCCACCGGACCUCCAGGCUGCGCCCCCCCAGGUGGUGCCCCCAGCCCGACUGCGGCCACAGUGUGCACCUCAGACAGCGAGGGAACCGCCAGGCCCUUGGCCUCCUCCGUCAGACUGCAAGCUCUUCUGGGCAGGCCUGGCCCUCAGAGGACUCAUGCAGGGGACAGGCUGGGCUGAGCCGGUGCAGAGGGAGGGCCCAAGGCUCACUGUGCUCGUGUUUGAGGGGCUCAGCCUCACGCCAGGGCCCGCCCAAGACCCUUUCACGGCCCGCACACUAGGACUGAGUAGCUAUAAACUGCGUAUCUCCCAGAAGUGCCCUGGUGUGAUCAUCCAUCUAAAGGCUCUGGCGGCGGUGUGUGGGGGGGGGGAGGGGGGGGGCCGGCCCUGGGGCAGAGAAGUGAGUGGAACAGAAAAUUCGCGGUGUCUCUCGAAUCUAGAUGGAAGCUGGAGAUUUCAAUUCCCUGGAGUCUAGGACAUGGGCCAAAGUGCAUUCUCCUCUAAGGGAGGCUCUCUUCAGUGUGACAGGAUGGACAGAAGGCAAGAUUGCCCUUUAAGUCAGGAACCCCCAAAUACAAUGAGAUGUUUGUUCACUUAUAUAAUUUGGUAGAUCUCAUACCUAUUCCUCAAUGUUUAUGGGGCAGGACUCCGGAACUGCGGCUGUUCGGUAGGAAAGACCAAAAGCAAACGGUGAACGAGAGAGAAGACACACAUGCAUGCACAAAAUAAAAUCCACGCCACCGCCGCCGCCAACCAGCACGCCACGAAACACCGGACCGACAGGCCGCCCUCACUCUGAACUCACACGAGUGCCUGCUACAGACUCCACCGCUCUAGAACCCUGAGCCAGGGCCUGGAACCAUCCUGCCGUAACAGACUCAACACUCAGACCUGAAGGAUCUGUUCUCGCGGCUUCUUAAUUCACUCCGUGGCGAGGGGAGGGUUAGCAGCAAUCACGUGGUGCCCUUCCUGCUCCCCCCCUCCCCCCCAAAAGGACUCCGAGGGGCCCUCAGCAGAACCCUGCUGCUGCUCCCGGGUCACGUGUGCAAAGGGGGAGCCUGGCCGCAGAGGGCAACCGGCUCACAGACGGGGCUUCCCGAACACAUGCUCCCACUGGGUCCGGCCCUUCAGCCAGAAACUGGAGCUUGUUGACUGAAAAUCUGUCGCGGCGACAGAUCAAGGUGCCUUUCCAUUUAGAGGAUGGGAAACAGGAGGGCAGAGAGACCUCUAGAGGUAGAUUUGGGGAGCACAUUUAGGGGAAUUCUGCACACCCCUUUCCCAGCUCUACCAAGCCCCUGAUUAAAUAAAUGUAGGCGCUCUGACA
Long non-coding RNA from Acinonyx jubatus (cheetah), 6834 nucleotides. RefSeq lists it as uncharacterized. The transcript is spliced from 3 exons. NCBI's taxonomy places the organism in Eukaryota, Metazoa, Chordata, Mammalia, Carnivora, Felidae. The record is from RefSeq and is a predicted model, not a curated record.